Molecule: non-coding RNA, 272 nt
Organism: Pelobates cultripes (western spadefoot toad)
Lineage: Eukaryota; Metazoa; Chordata; Amphibia; Anura; Pelobatidae
Source: the annotation of a GenBank genome assembly
UAUCAACACUACUUAUAAGACUCAUAAUAGUUUGCAAACCUUCAAAGGUUGUGUUGUUAUCAACCAUAAAGUUGUAUAAUUCUUCAAAUAAUGUUCAUGGUGUUGACAAUACUUAUUGUUGUAGAAAUUCUCCACCCAGAAAUCUUUCUAUCAUAGAUUUGUUAUUGUUUACAUAAUUAUAAUUUUGACUACUAUUCUACCUUGUAGUAACAAACUUUUCAUUCAAUAGAAACAUAGUUUACUUUAAAAUAACUUGUAAAGAAUAAUAUAAA